GCUGAGGUGGCGGAACCGGUAGACGCGCCAGACUUAGGAUCUGGUGCCAUUUUGGCGUAAGGGUUCGAGUCCCUUCCUCAGCACCG
Molecule: transfer RNA, 86 nt
Filed under: Deltaproteobacteria bacterium
Lineage: Bacteria; Pseudomonadati; Myxococcota; Myxococcia
Description: tRNA-Leu
Rfam family: tRNA
About the family: Transfer RNA (tRNA) molecules are approximately 80 nucleotides in length. Their secondary structure includes four short double-helical elements and three loops (D, anti-codon, and T loops).
Source: RNAcentral